RNAcentral lists this ribosomal RNA (505 nucleotides) under uncultured bacterium. RNAcentral describes it as "partial 16S ribosomal RNA". It matches the Rfam family "Bacterial small subunit ribosomal RNA", at positions 28 to 507 of the family's 1533-position model. The record is from RNAcentral.
GACGAACGCUGGCGGCGUGCCUAAUACAUGCAAGUAGAACGCACAGUUUAUACCGUAGCUUGCUACACCAUAGACUGUGAGUUGCGAACGGGUGAGUAACGCGUAGGUAACCUGCCUGGUAGCGGGGGAUAACUAUUGGAAACGAUAGCUAAUACCGCAUAAUAUUAAUUAUUGCAUGAUAAUUGAUUGAAAGAUGCAACUGCAUCACUACCAGAUGGACCUGCGUUGUAUUAGCUAGUAGGUGAGGUAACGGCUCACCUAGGCGACGAUACAUAGCCGACCUGAGAGGGUGAUCGGCCACACUGGGACUGGGACACGGCCCAGACCCCUACGGGAGGGAGCAGUAGGGAAGCUUCGGCAAUGGACGAAAGUCUGACCGAGCAACGCCGCGUGAGUGAAGAAGGGUUUCGGAUCGUAAAGCUCGGUUGUAAGAGAAGAACGGGUGUGAGAGUGGAAAGUUCACACUGUGACGGUAUCUUACCAGAAAGGGACGGCUAACUACGUG